This 77-nucleotide transfer RNA is filed under the name Candidatus Melainabacteria bacterium. Its description in RNAcentral is "tRNA-Met". It matches the Rfam family "tRNA". From Rfam's summary of the family: Transfer RNA (tRNA) molecules are approximately 80 nucleotides in length. Their secondary structure includes four short double-helical elements and three loops (D, anti-codon, and T loops). Lineage: Bacteria; Bacillati; Candidatus Melainabacteria. The record is from RNAcentral.
GGCUGGGUAGCUCAGUUGGUAAGAGCGGUGGAUUCAUAACCCACAGGCCGGCAGUUCAAGUCUGCCCCCAGCUACCA